CACAGCCUCAGUUCUUGACAAGCUCCUAGCCAGAGGAGAGGCGAUUUUAUUCCGGUGUGAUGAGCGCUAGUAGAAGAUAUGUUAGAACAGAGGGACCACACGGACUAGGCGGAGAUCAAGGAAGGCUUCUUGGAGGGGACAUAGGAGGUGGCCUGCGAGGCUGAGUGGGAAUAUUUUGGGUAGAAAGGAGACCACUAAGCAUGUGUUUCCGACAGAGGAACCAACUUGCGAAGAGGGAAGGUGGUUGUGUGCUAGGGAAACAAAUGUGGGUAUCCAUGGUCAUAACAGAGGAUGCCUUGGGCGUGGAGGGCAGAAAGUCAGCCGGCAAAGUGGGAACCUGAGUACCAGGGAAGCUGGGAUGAAGAAGCCUCCCUCUGCAGAUCACCCCGUUAAAGGCAGAGCAGUGGGCGCAGGUGCUAUGGCUUGAAGCAGGCCUGUCUGAAUUCUUAGCAGCGAUCUCCAAGGGCACCAUAACCUUGCAAGAAAGAGACUGCCGGGCCUGCAUCUCUUUCUGAUGCAGAAACCAGGGCCCGGAGAAGGUGAGUAAGCUGCUUAGAGCCACACAGCUGUGAGUAGCAGAUCCAAGCGCAACCUGUCUGUCCCAGGAGCUUGCAGGAUAGCUAGACCUUUGCUGCCUAGAAGGCCCUCUUGUGAGUCCCCUCCCUGGGCUCAGCAACCCAGGAGGGCAUGACUUCUGGCUGGGUCCUAGGGCUGGAGCCUCGGUGUCCUCUUGUCUUCUUUCCUUGUGCGACUUGGUUUUCCAGUCUGUGAAAUGGGGUGGGUGCGUCCAACUCCAAGCCUGUCUCUGCCCUGGGUCCUGGAGCCUGGAGGAGGAAUGAGGUCAUGUUUGUCUAGGGGCUAGAGCAUCUUG
This 871-nucleotide long non-coding RNA is filed under the name Rhinopithecus bieti (black snub-nosed monkey). RNAcentral's name for it is "lncRNA (ENSRBIG00000045148.1)". Lineage: Eukaryota; Metazoa; Chordata; Mammalia; Primates; Cercopithecidae. The record is from RNAcentral.